UGCCAGCGAUCCGCUGCUGCGAUUCAAGCGACAGGCCACCACCGAGGAGACCAAGAAGGAGGAGUCCUUCGAGAAGGAGCUCUGCAAGGACAAGGACGCCGGCGAGUGGUUCCGUCUGGUGGCCGGCGAGGGCGACAACUGCCGCGACGUCAUCCAAUGUACCUCAUCGGGCCUGCAAGCCAUCCGUUGCCCUGCUGGUCUGUACUUCGAUAUCGAGAAGCAGACGUGCGACUGGAAGGAGUCGGUGAAGAACUGCAAGUCCAAGAACAAGGAGCGCCGGGUGAAGCCCCUGCUCCACACAGAUGAGCCCCUCUGCCAGGACGGAUUCCUCGCCUGCGGCGAUGGAAACUGCAUUGAGCGCGGACUCUUCUGCAACGGCGAGAAGGAUUGCUCAGAUGGAUCCGAUGAGAACACCUGUGCAUAUAGGCACUCCUUG
This 436-nucleotide small RNA is filed under the name Drosophila yakuba. RNAcentral's name for it is "GE29113". Lineage: Eukaryota; Metazoa; Arthropoda; Insecta; Diptera; Drosophilidae. The record is from RNAcentral.